RNAcentral lists this RNase P RNA (370 nucleotides) under Streptococcus ovuberis. RNAcentral describes it as "Bacterial RNase P class B". It matches the Rfam family "Bacterial RNase P class B". From Rfam's summary of the family: Ribonuclease P (RNase P) is a ubiquitous endoribonuclease, found in archaea, bacteria and eukarya as well as chloroplasts and mitochondria. Its best characterised activity is the generation of mature 5'-ends of tRNAs by cleaving the 5'-leader elements of precursor-tRNAs. Lineage: Bacteria; Bacillati; Bacillota; Bacilli; Lactobacillales; Streptococcaceae. The record is from Rfam by way of RNAcentral.
AUUUUUGGAUAAUCGCACGAAGCGAGUGACUUCGUGAGGAAAGUCCAUGCUAGCACUGGCUGUGAUGCCAGUAGUGUUUGUGCUAGACGAAUGCAUAAGUCUAGGCACGUACAAUGUGCGUGACGGCAGUCGAAAAGGCUAAGUCUUUGGAUAGGCUUGAUUAGACUUGAAAGUGCCACAGUGACGAAGUUUUUGUGGAAACGCAAAAAGUGGAACGCGGUAAACCCCUCAAGCUAGCAACCCAAACUUUGGUAGGGGCAUGGGAUGGCCAGAACCGAAUGGACUAUCCUGACUGCAUCAGCAGUAGACAGAUGAUUAUACAGAGAAGCAAGAACCUAGUUGCUUCUUGGACAAAACAUGGCUUAUAGAA